Oryctolagus cuniculus (rabbit) is the source of this 13848-nucleotide non-coding RNA. Lineage: Eukaryota; Metazoa; Chordata; Mammalia; Lagomorpha; Leporidae. The record is from RefSeq and is a predicted model, not a curated record.
AAUUAUGCUACAAUCACUUUUUUGUAAUCUGCAUUUUCUCAUUGAGUAUAUAUAAACAUUUUCCUCCUGUCAUUAAGUGUCCUAUAUCAUCUUAAAUGACUGUAUGCUGUAUGGAUUAAAAAAUAUGUGAACUGCUUUACUUGCAAAACAAACUUCUGGUUUUUGUUUUUGUCCUUUUUUUGUCUUCUUUCUUUGGUGGGUAGGUAGGAGAGGAUAAAAAUUGUUUUCUAGGUUUAUCUCUCUUAUUUGUUUUCCCUAAUGAUGGUUCAGUAGUUUGAAAGAUGCAACUCAAUCCAUACCUUAUGCGUGACAAUGACAGGAUUUAGUACGAUAACCCUCUCCGGGAAUUCAUUGCCUGCCAAGACCUAGAGCUGAAAGAUUUACUGAUGCUACAGAGUUUGCUAUCAACAGGAGUCACAUGAAAGGCACAGAGUUACUGUCUAUCUUUCAGUUACUCUCUGCAGGAAUGCCUGCCUUCCAUUCUGCAACAGCUACCUCAGGUUCCUGAAAUAUGCAAACCAGCAAGUGACAAAUGCUUUUUAGAAAGGUACAAUUGCACUCAAAUUGAAAAUGGAGGAAGUUGGUCAAAGAACAAGGAAAGAAAGGCAUUAAAAAUUAAUCAUUCCAGGGCCGUAAAGUCAGUUGUAAACUCUUGGCGAUAAAAAAUUAAAUGAGGAAGAAGUUAGUGUUUUAAGCAGAGAUUUAGAUUUUCUAGGGGAGAACUUGAUAGCCGUACCAGAUUGGGGAGCUGGCAAAAUUUACUGGGGAAGCCCAAGUGUCUCAUUCCACUAGGGGCUGCGGAAAGCAUAAACCAAUCAUCAAAUGAAACAUCAUUUAUAUUAUUUAGUAUCACCGUGAAAAACCUUGGCUGUUAAAGAAAAUGGCACUUUUGACCGACUGAGAAUACUGUCUAUUCAGAACAGAUUAAAGUAGCAAAAAGUGGAUAAAUGCUAAAAAAAAUACAUCACUGCUGAGAGAAGCCCAGAGGAAGUAUUGCAGAAAUAUUUAAUAUUAGGGGACUGUAGACUCCAAGUAAUAAUAUUUAUCUGUCAUUCUUGUUCAAAUAGCAAAGCCUAACCUGGGAUUAUGUGUUCAUUGGUAGGUCGUCUCUGGGUGGGCUUAAAUGGUCAGAUCUUUGAACCCAAAGGAAAGUCAAACCGGAUUUGUUACAGGUUCUGAACAAAGUUAGUGCAUAUUUCCCUGACAAACUCCUUUUUAAAGGCUUUGAAGUGAUCAAAAAUAAAGAUAUUAAAACAUAGGGGUUAAGAGAACUUGUUUGGGCAUUAAAGAGAUCUCUCCCUGAAUGCUGGCUGUGCUACUAGCUGAAAAGCUUUGAGAAAUCACUUCUCUUACUUGAACUUUGAUUGCUCAGUCUGUAAAAUAGGAAUGAGAGUAAAUGGUAUCUUUGUGAUGAAUGAGACAAUAGAUGUAAAGAACCUCACGUAGGUCUGUGUGCAUGGUGAGUCUUCAAUAAAUGGUAGCUUCUUACUCUAUUCUUUUUUCUUAGCUAAUCACACAAAAAUGAGACAGAUGUGUGGGAAAUGGCUGGAAGAUGGCUGGGAUUGCCCAUCAUCCCACACCUUUGAUGCUUUCUUAUCGGAUGUUCGAGUCUCGGCUGCUCCACUUCUAAUCCAGUUCUCUGCUGUGGCCUGGGAAAGCAGUAGCAGAUGGCCCAAGUCUUUGGACCCCUGCACCCACAUGGAAGACUUGGAAGAAGCUCCUGGCUCCUGGCUUUGGAUUGGCUCCACUCUGACUGUUGCAGCCAAUUGAGGAUUGAACCAGCAGUCCGAGUUCGACAGUGAGAGAGCGAGACAGAGAGAAAGGUCUUCCUUUUUCGUUGGUUCACCCCCCAAGUGGCCGCUACGGCCGGUGCAUGCUGCACCAAUCCAAAGCCAGGAGCCAGGUGCUUCCUCCUGGUCUCUCAUGCAGGUGCAGGGCCCAAGGACCUGGGCCAUCCUCCACUGCACUCCCAGGCCACAGCAGAGAGCUGGAUUAGAAGAGGAGCAACUGGGACAGAAUCUGGCACCCCAACCGGGACUAGAACCCAGGGUGCUGGCACCACAGGCAGAGGAUUAGCCAAGUGAGCCAAGGCGCCGGCCAAGUUCUUUUCUAAACUUAUUUGUGCAAUUAUUUGUUCCAUGUGUUUUCUGUCUGAUGGAUUUUAUGCUGUAUGAUAAAAGCUUUCUUUUCUGUAUUGCUAACCCAGUGUGCUACUUGUAACAAAGAAGGUUGACAACAAAUAUCUGUUGAAUGGAUACAUGCAUAUUUCUUCAGGUUCCUUCUCUAUUUGGGAAUACCAGAGGUAUGAAUCUCAUGCAAUGGUUAUUGGAAAUUUUUUUAUAUGAUCUUAUUCCAGACAUCCAGUUUUAAUACCAUUUCUAUAAGUGCCAACUUCCCAUUAAUACUCAAACUAAAGAGAUGAAUAAUGAUGUGGACCUAAAAUGGGAAAUGUUUGGGGCUGGUAUUAUGGUGGGUUAAAUCAUUGCCUGUGAUGUUGGCAUCCCAUAAAGGAGCACCACUUCAAGUCCCAGGUGCUCCACUUCCCAUUUAACUCCCUACUGAUGUACCUGGAAAAGGUGGAAGAUGGCCCAAGUACAUGGAACCUGCCACCUAUGUAUGAGACCCAGAUGGAAUUUCAGGCUCCCAACUUUGGACUGGCCCAGACCUGGCUGUUGCAGCCAUUUGGGGUAGUGAAGAGCAGAUGAAAAAUCUCUUUCUCUCUGUUUCUCCUUCCUGCUCUAUCACGUUGCCUUUCAAAUACAUAAAAUAAAAUAUUUUUAUAAAAUAGGAAAUGUUGAAGAUAAGAAGGGAAUAGCUAGGAUUCAGAGCUCCAGACUCUAUCUCUUUAAAUGCUUUCAGAUUUAUUUUCAAAAAGCAGCAGCUGGGAGGAGGAACAUGAUGCCUAUCUGAUGCCCACAUAAUUGUUCAUUUCUGAGCAGACAGCCUGUGCUGUAAACAUCAAGUUUUUUCUUUUUAUUUGCUUCCCUCUUUUGUUUAGCUAAAAGUAAUUAUGUUUGCGUUAGAUUAAGCAUUGGCUUGUUCCUGUGCAGAACAAUAGAAACUUUCCCCUCCCAUCGUGUGUUCACUGUGUCAUCCUGACAGUCGCACUCAGGAGCAAUGCCAUAGUCACUUUGCAGCCCUGUCCUGGAGCUGUGUCUGGAGAGACACUGAAUUUCCCUUUGCAGAAAGGAAAGGGGGCUGGAAAGAAAUUGGAAGGGGAGACUGGGGUUACUACAGCUAACAAGGACUAACAAAAUCAAACAAAAUAUUGAAAAAAGGCUUAUGAUUUCACAUUCCUAGAAGAUUUCAGGGGAAGAACUAAAUUCUUUCUUAGUCAUCUAAUGCAGCAGAAAAACAAUUAAAUUGUUUGUGAUCUCAAUCCUUUACUUCUGUUUACUGUGUUUUGUGGCCACUGGGUCCACAGGGAUUUCUUCAGAUGUAUGAGUUCCUUACAACCUCCAAUUUUCCUUGGAUAGAAUUUGGAUAGGAUUCCUCCCUGCCGUCAGACAGUAGAAACUAGGAAAGAAUGGGGAGCCUCUGUAGGUAGAUCUCAGAGAGGCAUAGUCCAGAGAGCAGGGAGAGCUGUCAAUGCCUCUGUCUUCCUGAAGCUUUGCAAAGACAGAGGAAUGAUUUUCUGCACCUGCACCAACCAAGCAGCAGUCAUGUUGCUCCAUAAUCAAAAUUCUACUGAAAACUGGAAGAACAAAACAUGUCUAUCCUUCUCCCCAAAGACGGUGUACAUUGCUUUUCCUCAUGGAGUUCAUAGAUAGUUUCUGAGCUACGAACCUGGUCAGAAUGACUAGGCUUGUUGGUGCAUGGGAGGUGACAGUGUGGAGACAUAUGGAAACAAUAGAGCCUUGGAGAUGUUUGGGUUAGAAUUCAGGCUCUGUCAUUUAUCAAUUGUGACAACAUAAGCACAUUAUUUAUUCCAUUAGAGUUUUCCUCUAUUAUUAAGCCAAUAGUAAGUGUUCACUUCUGGGGAUGGUUGUGAGGCAGAAAAAUGAGAUAAUGUAGGUACAGCAUCAGCAUAGUAUCUGGUAUAGAAUCAUCUUUCAAAAAGGAAUGGCCAGAAAAAUCCCUUAAAGCAUUUUACUAUUCUUGGCAGAUUAUGCCAGUAGCUAAAACAGCCCCACAAUUUCCAUUUAUACAGGAUUUCACAGUACAUCCUAUGUGUUACCAAAUUAUGUAUUGUAUAUUGUUUUAUCGGUAGAAAUGUCAUUUAAGGUAGGGACAUAAAGAUGUGCCUUAUUUACAUUGCUCCUCAUUAAUGAGUAUGUUAAACAGAACAGAAGGCUUUGAGAACUAUUUAUUGAUCACCUACUCUUGGCAGUCUAACACAAAAUCUCCCUUGAUCGUCACAAUGACUUUGUGGAGAAGGUUUUAUUGAUAUCCCCGUUUUACAGAUAUGAAAGUGGAGGCUGGGAGAGGUCAAAUAUUUUACAUAAUGAUAAAUGAGGAAGAAGUAAUGAUGGAUUGAAGACAACAUACCUGACAUAGAGUGUUUGAUCCUUCAUUCUCUUUCCCUCUGUUAUGAAAGGUACAAAGGUGAAUUCUCAGGCCGGCGCCGCGGCUCAAUAGGCUAAUCCUCCGCCUAGCGGCGCCGGCACACCGGGUUCUAGUCCCGGUCGGGGUGCCGGAUUCUGUCCCGGUUGCCCCUCUUCCAGGCCAGCCCUCUGCUGUGGCCAGGGAGUGCAGUGGAGGAUGGCCCAGGUGCUUGGGCCCUGCACCCCACGGGAGACCAGGAAAAGCACCUGGCUCCUGGCUCCUGCCAUCGGAUCAGCGCGGUGCGCCGGCCGCAGCGCGCCGGCCGCGGCGGCCAUUGGAGGGUGAACCAAUGGCAAAGGAAGACCUUUCUCUCUGUCUCUCUCUCUCACUGUCCACUCCGCCUGUCAAAAAAAACCCAAAAAACAAAACAAAACAAAAAAAGGUGAAUUCUCAAAGCAGGACAGAGGAAGAUAGAUGUAUUCUUAAUGCCUGUGAGUACGAGAAAAUUGUCUUUUUCAUCCAGAAUAGAGACUUCCCAGAAUGCUCCAAGAAUUCACCUUCUCUCCUUAAAUGAUGGAUUGUUACACCUUGAAGGUGGAUGAAAAGGGUCCUACAGAGGAAGAAGGGAGUGAAGGCCCUGUGCGGAAUGCACAUUUCCUCUACUGGUGUUUUCUUCAUGACAAGGCACGGAGCUGUGAGCUGUAGGUGUUAUUGAUUUACCUCUAGGGAAAACCUCUGGUUUAUCUUCUUUUAUAGCCCAGGAAACCUUUUGUUUAUGAAAUUAUUGUGUAUCUUUUAGCCACAUGUUAAAUCCAGAAACAAGGGGUUUGUGUGCAGAGUUUGAGUAAUGGACUGACACGAGAUAAUUUCUCUUUGCUGACAGUAUCCCAUUAACCACCCAAACCCAUACUCAGCCAUUGUUCAGGGCACACUCAGUCUGUUUCGCAGGGAGUCAUUGUAAGACAUUGAGUUAUAAAAGAGAUAUGCGUUCCUAAAGCCAUAACAGAUUGAUACACUUGACAACUCGGUUUUAAAAUUACUUUUUGUUCAGAAUAAUUUGAGAUAAUUCAGUUAAGAUUUGUGUUGUUUCUCCCCGCUCUCUCCCUGUAUAAAGCUGAAUUCAGUAAUGCUGAAUGGUAUCUUGCUAUAAACCUACUAAGUUUUUUGGUUGCUUAGAAAACCCUUCCACUAAUCGCCAUGCCAAUUUUUCAUGGUUGGGGAAUGUAAAUAAGAACAAAACCCACAGUUCUUAGUGUACCUGUGAUCUUGUAGGACAGAUGUGGGGGUGGAGGUGAGAUACAACUAUAAACAAGAUGCUCUCGCUUUCAAGAUCUUAUCAUACAACUGACCAAGUCAGACAUUCCUGUCAAAUAAACCCAAUGGACUAGUACGAAGAUUGCAGGAUCCAUGAGAUUCAACACAUGGAAUGAGUUGUCCACUGCUAUAUUCCCAAUCUGGUAUAUAGUAUACGAUAAAUAAAUACGUAUUCAAUGACUGAAUAAAUUAAUGGUUUAAUAGGCAAAUGAAGGGCAUAGAUAGCUUAAUAGCAAAAGAAAAAUUAUAGGUGUUAGAACAAAAGGGAGAAUUCUGGCUUCAUUGUUUAGUAAGUGAUUGGGGGAUAGUCAUUCUAUUAUUUCAUAUUUAAAGUGGAUAUAUAAUAAUUUUCUUUCUGGUUUGUGAUAACUCAAUGAGAAACUCUUUGAAAAGAAUCCUGAAUGAAUAAAUAUGUAUGUAUACAUGUAUGUAUAUAUUUCUAUAUUUCCUCCCUUAUUCUUUUAAGAUUUAUUUAUGUAUUUGAAAUGCAGAGUUAUAGAGAGGCCAAAGGCAGAGAGAGAGAGAGAGAGCUAUUAUUCCCAAAAGACAACCCAAAGAGGAAAAGAAGGAUUUACAACUGGAGGAAGAUAAUUAUAUUUGCUCAUGUGAUGGCUGUUAAAUGUUUUCUGUGCUAUAUCAUUUUCUUGUGCAGACUUGCCUCUCUUUUACCCUCUAUUUUAGUAGUAUGAUGGUAGAUAAUUUCUUCAUCUCUGUUUUGUUCCAUUCCAGGUUCCCCUUGUAACUCAGAAGUAGUCAAUAGGAGCAUUCCAUCUUUUGGUCAAUGACUUCAGCUAGGAGGUUAACAACUUUUAUUGGGAAAUUUUAUGAAGUCACUAGAAAAGAUGCAUCCUGUUUCUCAGGUAUUUGUGUAAGGGCAGAUGAAUUUUAGAAGCCUAUCUGAAGAUGAAAGACCCAGAGGCACUGAAAACAUAUACACACUUAAAUAGGAGAGAAGGAAAAAAGGAGAGGAGGGUUAGGGAGAAGGGAACACUAUGCUGAGACUGUUUGAACUUCUGGAUCUAACUGUAAGGGUAACUUUGAAUUUUAACCCAUGACAGUCAAAUAGGAUACAAAGGAAAAAUCCAGGGUCAAGAGUAAAUGACUGGGCCAGCGCCGCGGCUCAAUAGGCUAAUCCUCUGCCUUGUGGCGCCGGCACACCAGGUUCUAGUCCCGGUCGGGGCGCCGAAUUCUGUCCUGGUUGCCCCUCUUCCAGGCCAGCUCUCUGCUGUGGCCAGGGAGUGCAGUGGAGGAUUGCCCAAGUGCCUGGGCCCUGCACCCCAUGGGAGACCAGGAUAAGUACUUGGCUCCUGCCAUCAGAUCAGCGCGGUAUGCCGGCUGCAGCACGCCGGCCGCGGCGGCCAUUGGAGGGUGAACCAACGGCAAAGGAAGACCUUUCUCUCUGUCUCUCUCUCUCACUGUCCACUCUGCCUGUCAAAAAAAAAAAAAAAAAAAAAGAAUAAAUGGAUGGCAAAAAAAGGGGAGGUGUCUACUGCUGAAGUGAAGUCUACGGAGGAGCUCUGAGAGACAAAAGGGAGAAAUUUUUCUUGAAUAAAUUCUAGGAUAAUCAUUUCUUCUGAUGAUGAGAAAAAAGAUAAUAGCACAAAAAAGUACAGAGAAGUGUUAAUGUGGAGAGAAAUAAAAUUGAAGAAAUGGAUAUUAAAUGGCUAAGAUAACCUUCAUAUGGUAGGAAGAAAUGCCUCCAAUAAUUUUUCAGAAAAUCAACAUGUUAUAUUGAUUUUUUCAUAAACUACAUAUGAGAUAUUGCUUUCAUUAUGAUGCUGUUUUUGUGACUGGGUUAUAUAGGUGAUUGAUUACAAACAGUAUGGAGAAAUAUGAAAAGAAUAUAUGGCAAAUCCUUGAAAUGCAAUCACACACACACACACACACACACAUCUCGUGGGCAUAGAUGCAUUUUCUGUUGCAGCCCUGCUCCUUGUGAAUGUAGCCAUGAUUCAACCAAAUUACUGGAAUGUAGUCUACUUUGUUAUCAUUAAUGAUCCAAUUCAUGGUAAUAUUUUAUGAACAUGGUCCUUCUUGGUCUGUCAGUUUUUCUUUUUAAAUUCUUUUUCACCUUAUUCCUUCCUUGUGAAUAUUUACAGUGUGGUAGGCAUGAGCACCACAAAUUUGAACAAUAUCCAUAUGGUUUCUGUCAUCACAGUGGUGAACAAACUGUUGGAAAGAUUAAGAGAGAUCCAAAUACUUCAGGAGUCUGAAGUCUUGUAUAUAUUUUACCAAUUUUUUUUUUGACAGGCAGAGUGGACAGUGAGAGAGAUAGAGAGAGAGACAAAGGUCUUCCUUUUGCCAUUAGUGUACCCUCCAAUGGCCACCACGGCUGGCACACUGCGGCCAGUGCAUCAGUGCUGAUCUGAUGGCAGGAGCCAGGUGCUUCACCUGGUCUCCCAUGGGGUGCAGGGCCCAAGCACUUGGGUCAUCCUCCACUGCACUCCUGGGCCAUAGCAGAGAGCUGGCCUGGAAGAGGGGCAACCGGGACAGAAUUUGGCGCCCCGACCGGGACUAGAACCCGGUGUGCCGGCGCCGCAAGGCGUAGGAUUAGCCUAGUGAGCCACAGUGCCGGCCUUUUACCAAUGUUUUUAAAGAACUUUGCUUAUUCAUAAAUUGUCAAGACAGAAUCAGCUGUGCUUAUUUUUAUAGAAAUAUGGAAGUUGAUUUUGUCCAUCAAGCUUGAUCAUUUUUAGGGAUAAACCUUUAGAGAGAAGUCAGUCUUUUAGAAUAGUGUGAUUGACCAGAAUGCAUUCAGCUUUCUUUUAUUUAACUGAAGAUUAAUAAUUAUAUUUUAGUAUAUACCAUUUACUUUGCUACUCUAUCUCCACUUGACAAGUAUUCAUUGAGCAAAAGCUUUAUUUGAUUUGUAUGUGUGUGUGUUGUGUGUGUUUUGUGAUGGGUGAAGGACAUUAAAUUAUUUGCAAUGAUUUCUUAAUCUUCCUGAAAGGUUUUGUCACAGGGCAGGAGUUCACUGUGUGGGUGAGCUGGAGGGAUAUUAGCCCCUGGAGAGGUUACACAAACUAUUGCACCAAACUACAAACUAGCAGUGGGAAUGUAAUGGAGAAUUGAAAAGGAAAAUAUUUCAUGUACUUUGCCUUGUCAUGUUAAAGAAUGUACUACUCCCUGUAGGGUUUAAAUUUCAACAAUGGCUGGCAUGAAAAGAUAUACAAGCAUUGCUCAAUAUAUUUAAUUCAGCCUGUGCUUAUAUAACACCUAAAACGGGUCUGCUCAGAAGUUUGAUUCAGCUAAAGAAAAGUUCUUUCUGUUCCCUUAUCUGCUUUGAACUUCAGUCAUGGUUGGCUGUGUUGUCUACCUCAUUCAUGGGUGACUUGGAACAUCACAGACAUAACCAAGGCUUCUGUGCAUGAAGGUCUUCAAAAAGUUCAUGGAAAAUUGGCAUUACAAAACAAUCUAUGCAUGGAUUCAUUAUUUGCACCAAAAUAAACUUAUCUUUUACCCUGGUAGUAUGACUGUUUAUUUGCCAUUAAAUUCAUCUAGUUUAGUUUUACUAUUUGGAGAAAAACACAGUUGGUAUGGAAUUAUCUUCUCUCUUAUUUGCCAUUUUAUUUAUAUGUCUAUUUGGAUAUAGAAAACAAGGAUAGGAAAAAAAUAACUGGCUGUCAUAUUUUGUAAAUCAUAUCACUCUGUUCUUAUUUUAGCAACUGACAUUCAAACCCAUACAUUAUUCCCUUCUCCAAAAGUUACUGGUUUAUUCUGUUAACAGAAAAUCAACAUUGCUCAAAGGAAAGAAUACUUGAACUGGGGAUCAGAAACCUGAUUUUCAUUUCACCUGCUAUAAUCAUAAUAUGUAUAGCCUUGAGUUUUCAGUUAACCUUUCUACAUCAUGUAAUUUUAUAAAACAAGGACAGUAAUAGGAACACAUUCUUUUCAGAUCACAUUCUGAAUCAAAUGAGAUAAAUUAUGUGACAGUAUUUUGUAUGUUUAUAUAGUACUGUAAGAGUGAAAAUUAUGAUUAUGGUAGUGAAUGCCUAUACCAUUUCUUCCACACACUUCUUGCUUGAGAUCUCAGAACUGUCUCUAGAGUCACAUUUUAUGGGAAUAACUGAGCAUCAAUAUUCUAUGCUUACUAUAAAGAAAAGUUCUACCUUGUUUCUCUCACUAAGUAUAGUUCAUCGUCUUGUCUGUCAGCAAAAUGAUUUUAAGACACACAGUGUUAUAAAGCCUCAUCUACAUGCAUUUUAUUAUAGGUCCAUUAUUAAACACAGGGAUUCCUUUAUUUCAAAUAGAUGCAGAGUAAACUAGAUGCAGAGUAAAAAGCAGCAGGUUUUGUAAAAAUUUCUGUAUUUUAUUGUUGUUUAAACCUGGGUGUUGAUAUUUACUUAAAGAAAAAAAGGUCCUAAUUGAUUUAAUGUCUAUUUGAGUGUAUUUUUAAAAUCUUCUUUUGGCAUAUAAUUUUAGUUCUUUUGACAUAUCUUGCAUUAUUCAAUAGAGUAUUUAAUAGUAAUUUAAUUUUUACUUUAUCACAUAUAAUUUUUAAGUGAUCCAAAGAUCUUCAAAAAUGCAAUUUUAAAGAGAAAUUAUGUGAGUAUUGUGAAGUAAAGAAUGGUCAGAAAAACUGUGUCUAAAUAGCAGUGAUUGUGAAAGAACAUAAAUUUCAGCAAAGUUAACAUAAGAAUACGUUUCUGAAGGUGUUCAUCUUGGGAUAUGGACCAACUUGGUGACGGUCAAGCUUGAAAGACAGUAUAGUCAGGGCUGGCACCGUGGCUCACUUGGUUAAUCCUCCACCUGCAGCUCUGGCAUCCCAUAUGGACACCGGAUUCUAGUCCUGGUUGCUCCUCUUCCAGUCCAGCUCUCUGCUGUGGCCCACGAGGGCAGUGGAGGAUGGCCCAAGUGCUUGGGCCCCUGCACCUGUGUAGAAGACCCAGAAGACGCUCUUCGCUCCUGGCUUCAGAUCGGUGCAGCUCUGGCCCUUGCAGCCAAUGGGGAGUGAACCAAUGGAAGGAAGACCUUUCUUUCUCUCUCUCACACUCUAUAACUCUACCUGUCAAAUAAAUAAAAUAAAAUAAAAUAAAAUAAAAUAAAAUAAAAUAAAAUAUAGUGUAUUUCUAUGGAGUUCUGCUGGAUACCACAUGGCCAUAAAUCUCUUAGUUUCCUUUGAGUUCAGCUGUUCUCUAGUUUCACUCUAUAUUGUAUAAUCAUAAUACUUUACCAUGAAAUAGGUGAGGUUGAGUGAUGAGUGGAAAGGUGUUAUGGCUUGCAUCAAUAAAAUUACCCUUUUAGCAUGUAAUCCUCACAUUUUAUGAUUGAAUAUGCAUAAAUGUAUUCAUAUGUACAGAUGGGGUAAGAAGCUUAUUUAUUGGAUUUCACUUUGAGAAAUCUCCUUGAAAAGGUUAAAUUCAAAGCAUUGACAAUGAAGUAAUGCGGCUGGUACUCAUAUAUUGCAAGUAAAAUAUAAGUUACUAUAAACACUUUAAAAAUUGUUGGUAGGUAUCUAAUAAAAUUUAACAUUCAUAGGCUUUGUAGUCAAGAUUUCUUUUUUUAGAGAUUUAUUUGAGAAGUAGAGUUACAGAGAGAGAGAAGGAGGGGGGAGAGAGAGAGAGAGAGAGAGAAUCUUCCAUCUUCUGGUUCACUCCCAAAUGGCUGCAAUGGCAUGGCUGUGCCAGGUCAAUGUCAGAAUCCAGGAGCUUCUUCCACAUCUCCCAUGUGGGUGCAGGGGCCUAGGGACUUGGGCCAUCUUCUGCUGCUUUUCUAGGUGCAUUAGCAGGGGACUGGAGUGGAAGUGAAGCAGCCAGGACUUGAACUGGUGCCUAUGGAAUGCCAGCACUGCAGGCUGCAGUUUAACUUGCUGUUCCAUGGUGUCAGGCCCAGUAGUCAAGAUUUCUAGCUUUUAGGAAUAUACCUAACAGAAAUUUGUACAUAUAUGCACCAAAAGAUGUAUAUAAGAAUAUCCAUGUUAACAUUAUUAUUAAUACUACCAAACUAGAGGCUCAUAUGUCCCUAAAUAGUAGACUGGAUACAUAAAUUGUGACAUAUGUAUUUAAUGAUGAAUAAUAUGGAAUGUAUAAUGAUGCAUGAUGAAAAUGUAUAAUGUAGCUAUAAACUCCAACCAGCAUGGAGAGCACAAGUGUAAUGCUGAGUGAAAGAAGCUAGCUGUAAAAAUAUCAUUAAUGAGUCCAUUUAUGUAUUUAUUGAAUUUUUUUAACAAAAUGAAUUUGUCUUUGAAUUCCAUUUUCCCAAUUACUUUAAAAAAAUUUUUAUUUGAGAAGCAGAGCAACACAGAGAGACAGAGAAGAAUAGAGAGAGAGAGGAGAGAAAGAGAGAGGGAGAGAGAGAGAGAGAAUGAAAGAGAGAGAGAAACUCUAAUCUGCUGGUUCAUUACAAAUGCCUGCAAAUGGGCCAUGCUGAGGUCAGGGGCCAAUAACUCAAUUGGUUCUCCCACAUGGAGGCAGGAACUCAGUUAUUUGAGCAAUUACAUAGUGCUUCCCAGGGUCUGAAUUAGCAGGGAUCUGGAGUCAAGAAUGGAGCUGGUAUUUGAACCAAGUACUCUGUUAAAAAAUAUGGGUGUCUUUGCUAGGCUCCUUAACCACUAAACAAAUGCUUGCUCCUGUACCCCCAUUUAUAUUUUAAAAACUGAUAAAACUCUUAUCUAUGGUGAUAGAAGUCAGAACAUGAUUACUUUGUUGAAAGAGGAUAGCUUUGAGGAGGCAUGAGGAAGCUUCUGAAAUACUGGUAAUAUUUUAUCUCUAAGUCUAGGUGAUAGUUACACUAGUGUGUGAACUUUAUGAUCAUUUAUUUAAUGAAACACUUAUAAUUAAGGCACAUUCCUGUAAACACAUUCUACUUCAAAAUGUUACAGUAAAAAUAAUAUUCUGCUAAAAAUCAACCAGAACAUCAAUCAAAUGUCAAAGUAGAAUAAAGACCCAUUUUAAAAGUCACACACAGAAUUUUACAGAUAAAUCCUAGAAAAUUGGGGGAUUAGGCUAAGAAUCAUGAAGAUGUAGAAUAUAUGAAGAGAAUCUAGUUUGAAAAGAAAAAGUAAGGGAAAUUCAGUCUGACAAUUGUGAGGAAACCAAGAGCACAGGAGUCCUAGUUGAGCUAGAGGGAAGAUGGUUCUGGGAUGGUAUUUAAGAGCCUUGAUAUCAUCCCAGAGAAAAGGAAGAAUUUAAGGAUUCAGUAAGGCAAACAAUGCAAGAAAAGAAUAAAGGCCAAUACAGAAAUAUCAACAUAAGCAAAAGGUAGUAUAAGACAGAAAAUAAAACCACAGAAUUUUUCUUGGCUCUGCCACAAGUGAUAUUUGCACAGUUACAGUGAUAUAGACCAUGUUUAUUAGUAUCCAAAUCUCAAGGCUUAAAUGUUGAUUUCAGAACAGACCUCAAAGUUAUUUUUGAAAUGUAAAAAUAAAAUUAUGGGUGAUAGAAUCACAGUGGUAGAAACAUGCAUGAGGAGUGAGAAAAUUGAUGGGAACACAGCCCUUGAUUUUAAAAACGCGUUUGCCAUGAUGUGGCUAUGGCUGACUGGUUAAACUUGAAAUAUUGGAGUGCAUUAUUUAAAGUCAAAAGAAAUAGCCAGUAAAAAGACUAAAAACACUUAUCUCUAGGUAGAGGGAUAUAACAGGAAAAUGGGCUAUCGGUAAGCUAAAUCUUCAUCUAUUGUAUUAGGAAGUCAAACAAUAACUUCAUUACAUUGAUGAAUCAAGAAAUAGUAGAGUGAGUGAAUAAUUAAGAGAGACAAAGAUCUCAGUAAGGAACUGAGCACUUGAGAGUUAUAAGUGGUUACUUUUGAGGUUGUGCAUUUGGCCUAGUGGUUAAGCUCCUAUCUGGGAUGCUAUAUCCUAUUUUGGAGUGCCUGGGGUAGAGUCCUGACUCUGCUCCCAGUUCCAGCUUCCGCCCAUGUGCACCCUUGGAGGCAAGAGAUGAUGGCCCAAGUACUUGAGACUCUGCCAACCACAUGGGAGACUCAGACUGAAUUUCUGAAUCUUGGCUUUGGCCUGGUACAUUCUGAGGCCAUUUCAGCAUUUGGGAAGGAAACCAGCAGAUGGAAAUUCUGUCUGUAUGUCUUUCUGUCUCUGUUUGUUUGCCUCUAAAA